UGUAGUUUGUGCAUGGGUAACAAUGAUACUGCACUAACUGUACACUUUUAGUGCUUCUAUUCUCCUCUAGGGUUAUCAACGUUGUGGCAAUUGAGAACACCAGAAAUAGCUAUUUUAUGACAAAUGGACCUGAUGGCAAAGAAAUGAGCUCCAGAGCACCGACCCAGUUCACAUGAGCUACAAACACCCAUCUUCAGCCAAAAUGCCACCCAGUUGUGCCAGAGUCAGAUGGAUGACCUUGAGGUGUAAAGAAUAUGAAGUACUAAUGAUAUAUAAAAAGCAGAUAAAAGAAAGUAUACCAAUAUAGAUAUAAUAUCAGUUUAUAAGGUGAAGAAAGCAGUUGGGAGAAAGAGUUGCACAUUGAUGUGCACUUUUGCCUAUGUAUAUUCAGGAGUAGAUGAUGGAAAGAGAGAAGUCAAAGACGUUGCACUUGCUGUUUCCUACCUAUGGAAUAUUUUGAUUGGACAUCCUUGAAUGGUUGCCUGCUCUGUACAAUUUUUAUAUUAAUCCAAAGACAAAGAACAGAAAAACCUAAGAAGUUGGCAUGCUGGAUAAAGAGUAAUAUCUCAGUGACUGACAUGGUGUGAGUGGAAGAAUGAAGAGGACAUGACAUCAGAAAUACAACAAGCUCUUUUGUGAUGCAAAAGGCAAUAUUUAAUUCUUUAAACCAAUGUCACACCUGUAAUUCCAGCUACUCAGGAGGAGAAAGCAGAAGGUCAGAACUUCAAGGCCUGCCCAGGUACUAUGUUAGGUGUGGAGAAUUACAAGAUCAGACCCACUAAGAAAACAUUAUGAAACAAAUUGCAGUGGGAGGAAGAAUAGCAUGCCAUUCACUAUUCAGGGACCUCUGAAGUUGGGAUGGCUGCUCCAAGAAGUCUUUGAGUUAAGGCGUGAGUCAGGCCUUUAUAUCUUCAUGGGAAUAGUUAUUGGAUUUAUGUUACUGUAGGAAGAGGCAUGAACCUUGGAUAGAUGGCUCCUUUUAAGCUAGAGGCAAUUUCCAAAGAGGGACUCGGCAGAGAGCUGUAAAUCUCCAACACCUGCAGGAGUUCAGGCAAUGAGUGCCUGGGUCUUGAACAGGUAAGAGGGGGUGGGUGGAGUUUCAGGUCUGUGAGGUACAUCACCACAUUCACUAUAGACAACUAAAAGGAACAACAGAUAGUUUACAGCAAGGUUCUGUCUCAACUCCAGAUACAAAUGAACUUGAAAUUAUGAAAAAGUAAAAUUCCAGCAAGAAAACAAAGAAACUGCUUUAAAUGCCAGCAGCUGUAAUUAUGGAAACUUCUAAAAGAAAGAAAUAGCAAGCUUGAGGAAAAGGUUUAUAAGAUGUGAGGGAAAUUCAGAGAUUUCUCAUUCCAGAGGAUGUUUUCCCUCCACUUUAAUAAAGUUAGAUAAUGCUAUAAAACUCUCACUCACACUGCAUUUUACCCCAAUUGCUCAUAGGCAAUCAUGUUCCAAUUGUGUUUUUCUAGAAUGUGAG
Molecule: long non-coding RNA, 1477 nt
Organism: Marmota monax (woodchuck)
Lineage: Eukaryota; Metazoa; Chordata; Mammalia; Rodentia; Sciuridae
Exons: 5
Source: RefSeq, a predicted model, not a curated record